CGGUGUUGCCAUGGCUACAUGCGCCGCGCUCUGCGCGGGCCGGUGUGAGCUUCUGGGGCGGGCAGCGGGCUCCGGAAGUGUGCAGCUACCCGGGACCAUGGCAGUGCUUGCUGCUGGGGCUGGCGGCUUGCUCGCCUGGGCGACUAGUUCUGGCCUGGUCAGUCGGCGGCCGACAUCCUGUCUGGGGCGGCGUCCCACAGACGGUAAACGUACCUUCUGUGUGAUGUCAACCCUCCAGAGGGCUUCAGCCUCCGUAGAAGCGUCUGUAUCCACAUCGCCUUCCUCCUGAAGGCCCUGCUGAAAAUGGAGGAAUCGGUGCUGGUGAUACCCCCUUGGGGCCUCCUCUACCAUUGGCAGAGCCUGGACAUCCACCAGGUCCGGAUUCCCUGGUCUGACUUUUUUGAUCUCUCAAGUCUCAACAGAAACAUCCCUGACACUGAGUACGAACCGUUCAUUGCAGGUGAGAUGGUGAUCGUUUAACUGGGGCCAGACGGUUGUUGUUCUGGUUCCGAUGUGAACAUCAGGCCAUCUUGCUUCGGGCUUGUCGGUCUGCUAAGGGGUCCUGCUCAUGUUUCCCGCACUGCAGGUGAAUUUGGUCUUUCCAUAGUUUUUCUCAGGAAAUAGAUCUGAAGUGUAUGAGAUCUGUGUUCCCUCCGCUCUGAAAAUCCUGGCCUCCUGGUGAGAUGGAGCGGUGACAAGAAGGCCACUGCCACACAGGCCUUGUCUAAGGAGGACUCGCUCCCUGGACAGUAAGGGCCAUUCUUACCUGAAGGAAAACACGAUGUGUGUGUAGCAUGGGCCACGUGCUGGAGAAGAGAGUGAGAAUCACCUCUGAAGGCGGAGGAAGAAAGUUGGAGGUGCGGGGCACAAAGUCUUUUGUCCUUUUGCUACUGAAAAAAUGAUUGCUUUUGUAAUUAGUGAUGAUGCCCUUUAAAUUGGUGAGAUCGAGAUUCUACAGCUUCAGCGCCUGUGAAUAACCAGCCGGGAGAAAGCUCUCCAGGGCCCCUGCAGUGGGAAAGGCAGCCCCUCUGAGCACCUGUUGUUCUGUAUUCUUCCUGACUCCACAUGGGUUUGCUACGCACCGCACCGUGCAGGACGAUGCAGUUACCCGAGGUGGAGGACAGGGAGACCCCUGCUGUGUGGCGAGCCACAGGAGCCCACAUUUGAAGGACAAAAUGAAGAGUAGUGGGGCGGGCAUAGGAGGAGAGGAUGGUUGAGACCCAGGAUGGUGUCCUGGAGUCCAGCAGGCGAGGCUGGCUGGGCAGAUGGGGCCCUGGGGCAUGGGCAGUCCUUGAGGGAUCUGAAGCAAAGAUAUGAACCAAGAGACUGGAUUCGUGUGGGCGUACAGCACCCCCUGGAGGCCGCGGGGCAGUGCAGCAAGCCCAGGAGGAGCGGGCAGUUCCCCAGAUUUGGGUUGACAGGUCACAACCAAUUCACUGGGGACCGAGAGGUACCGAGAUAUUGUUAAAAUUUUGUCCCUCUUCCUGGAAAAAAAGCUGCUUCCUGUUGAAUAGCCUGUGUCGUUAGUGAGAAUUAAAGACAUGAAGCAACAUUUCCUCAAAUGUCAUCCAUUGUGUAGUUGUUAAUAAGGGUCAAAUGCAGACUUGAAUAGACUAAAUCAAAUAUUCAUCAUCGGAUUUUAAAAUCCUUUAAAAUAAAAAUUCUUGCUGUCUUUGUUCUUCAUUUCAGGGUUCACUUGGUGAUAAUAAUAGUAAACAAAGCAACAGCAAACCCUUAAAGAACUCUGUCCUGCUGUUCCAGGAACUCUGUGUUCACGACAACACAAUGAGGUGGCACUUUACAGGAAGGACAGUCAUUAAUCACAUAGCUAGUAAAUGGCAGACCUGGGACUUGAACCCAAGCUGUCUGGCCCCAGAGCCCCCUCUCAGGCCUUUCAUUGCAGCUCAUCACUUGGCAUGCCCGACACAGGCCAGCAUUAAGGAGCAGCGUGACCUUGGCCAUGGCUGCUUCACCGCUUGGUCUCUGUUUCCUCAUCUGUAGAAUGGGGUUGUGGGCAGUGAAUUCUGUGAGCUCAGUGGUCACUUCCUCCAGCUCUGCUAUUCUACUGCUUUAAGAUAAUUUAUUAAGUAUCUGAGCCUCUGAAUGGGCCACCUUGGCGCUUUGCUAGGACCUGGGUUACGGAGAAAAGUAAGAUCAACUUGCUUCUCCAAGGAGCCUGUCUCCCUCCACGAGAAACAGCUGCAAGGCCCAGGUUCCCUCGCUGGCAGUCGGGGGCUGGGCAGGAAAGUCUGAUAGAAGGUGGAGGCAGAGCCCCUACGAGAACAGUGUUAGCCACACAGCUCUCAGGAACAGGAGCGUCUGUCCAGGCUGCUGAGAGGGGUGUCCUCGUGAGGCCAGCAGCCCCCCCCAAAUUAAGCCCUCAGGACAAAGAUCCAGCCAGCCCUGCAGUGUCACCAUAGAGCCAGUCCAUCCUCAUCACUGUGCCCCUGUGCUCCUUUGUCCUGGGGCCUCUCUUUCCCCUACACCCAGAAGACUCUUCUCCCUCUCUUCUCUGAGUGUCCCCUCACUUCACCCGUGGUCCCUGCUUCCUGGGCCACCAUCUCUGGAGUUGACACUUUGCCCCCUCACACCCCCCGUUUGAUAAGGAGCCUGGGUUUGCCUCCUUGUGCUCACUUUCCCCCUUCAGAUGAUUGCUCCUACUCUCCUGGGAGCUCCUGGAAAACCCAGGUCCAUUCCUAGCAGUGCCUGCCACCCUGGCCUCCCUGCUCAUCUGCCUCAGUCAGGAGCACCUGGACCACCAGCUCUGUAUUGCCUCGCCUCCUACCAUCAAGAUGUCAAAGUUCAUUCUCCCUCCACCACCCAGUAUGUUCAUUUUAGGGUCUUCUUCACCGUCAGCCUGAGCCAGCCACCCCCCAUUCACCCUACCCACGGGCUCAUACCCGGGUGUGUCUCCACCCCAGGUCCAGCCUCUCUCUUUAAGUGCCCACCUGUAGCCAUCCAGCUGCUUCUCCACCAGCCUCCUUGGCCCUCAUUCACCCUCACUAAGGCCUCAUGCACUGACUCCUCUGCUUUCCUGCCUGUCCACGUUCCUCUUACUUCCACUACCCCACCUUCCAGCUCUGCAUCCACAGUCAGCACUCUCUUUAUGACAAACAAAACCCCCUUGAGCCUUGAACUUUUCAGUUCCUCAACAGGCCGACUUCCAUCUCUGUUCACCCAGCUCUAUUUGUUCUGAGCCUGCAGGCAGCAGGCUCUCCCAGCACAGGUUUCUAAGACUACAAAUCAAUGCCCACCGUGUUGCCACUGCCAGGCAAUCCUCCAGGGUUUCUCUAGUGAGCACAUUUCCCCACUUAUCACUCAGUGGUGUCAACAUUCUCUGCUCUCUGCACACCUCUAAGCUUCCCUCUGUCUCUUCCCUGACUCCCAGCAGAUGGCCUUGCCUCCUGCUUCAGAGAGAAUGACAUGUCACUGGAAAGGAACUCACUCACCUGUAGCAAACCUGCUCACCUCACCUUUUAUCUGUCCCUCUCCCACCUGGACUCUAGCUGUAGUUCUUAAUUCAGUGAGUUUAGUUGACAUAUAUAUACACAGUUAAAAGCAUAGCACACUAUCGCCUACCUUCUAGGGCUUAUUGUUUCAAUUUAACAUAGAGUGUGUGAUUCAUCCACUUCGCUGCAUGUACCUGCAGUUCAUUUGUUUUAACUGAUCUUAAGUGUUGUGUGUGUGAAAGUAACACAAGGCAAGGGUAAGCCAGGAUUCAGGAUGCUGGUUACUUCCUGUGAGAAGAGGUCAAGUGCAGGUUAUUACACAGUAUGUCACUGUCAAUAUUCCUGUUCUGAUGCUGGGUGAUAGGUUCACAACUGUUUCUUAUAAUAUUAAUUUUAAUACAUUAAUACUUCUCAAAGGCACCUAAGGUGAGAUUGUGUCAUGAACCAAGGCAUACAAUGGGUAAUAUUACAUCAUUAUUUUUAUGUAAUCUUGUUAUAAAAUGUAUUAAUCAUAAUCCUACAUUGUUAUGUAUUAUAUAUUAUAUAGAUGCAUGAAUUAUAUAUUAUGUAUAUAAAUACCUACAUACGUAUUAUAUACUAUCUGAUAAUAAAUAAACAGAACAUAUUAUGGUAGUAUAUCUACUAUUAUGUAUUAUUUAAUUAAUAAUAACAUACUGUAUCCUGUUAUAUGACAUGACACCUAAUCUUUAAUCAAAUAAAAAU
Long non-coding RNA from Camelus dromedarius (Arabian camel), 4172 nucleotides. RefSeq lists it as uncharacterized. The transcript is spliced from 3 exons. The record is from RefSeq and is a predicted model, not a curated record. NCBI's taxonomy places the organism in Eukaryota, Metazoa, Chordata, Mammalia, Artiodactyla, Camelidae.